UCUGAAAAGUUAGUUUUAAUAUAAUGCUACAGUAAAAAUAAAGCAAUAUACAUACAUUAACCACUUUCUAAAUAUGCUGUCUGUCUUUGGAGCAAAACAUUUGCCUUAGAUCUACUCUGUCCAGUGUAGUUGCUAUCAGCCAAUGUAGCUAUCUAAAUUUAUGUUUGAACUAGAGGCCCAGUGCAUGAAAUUUAUGCAUGAGUAGGGUACCUAGGCCUGGCCAGUGAUUAGGGCCGAUCAGGGCCUUCCAUAUUGGCUACCGACUGGGGCCUUCCUUCCUAAUGGCUACCAUAUUGGGCAACACAGAUAUCAAAUAUUAUUAUCAUUGCACAAAGUUCCUACUGGACAGUGCUGCCUUGUGCAUAGUGUCCAGUAAGUAAUUAUUGAACAAAACAUUGAAUACUAUAGCUGUUGUUAGUUGUGCCCUGAUCUAUUUUUAAGUUUGGAGGGGGGCGUUUAAAUCAUUAGAGAGACUAAUUAAGAAAAUACGUAAUUGAAUUGUUGCUAAAUAGGAUUAUGAGGCCUUUCUAUAUAUAAGAGAUGAACCAUCUUUGGGUGUUUUAUUUUGUUUUGUUUUGUUUUUGGUAACAGGUUAUUUGAUGUAGUAGCCAAAUCUCUAUUACCCCUCCAUUUGCAGAGGUUUUAAAAGGUCAGGAAAAUUAGAACAGAAACUGGGCAAAUCAGAUUUGCUCUUUAUCCAGAAAUAAUUUGCUGUGACGUGUGACUAAAUAGUGUUGAGUAUCUCUCUCCUAUUAAAAUGUGAGAUGGUAGAGAAGUAGAUUGGAGAAAGCAGGGGAGAGGUUGCUUAGAAGGAAGUACUAUUUAGAAGACUGGAGAAGGAGGUACUACAAGAAAAAAAUGUGUGUUGAGAGUUAAAUUGUUUUUACAUGAUCUCCAUGUGAUUUUAUGAAUUAUAGAGGAAAAUAAUGAAUUUAUUUAGUCAGUGUAUGUUUUUUCAUCUUCAGAAUUAAAAUUGUUUUCUUAAUUUCAUAAAUGGUUUUUU
This is a long non-coding RNA of Pipistrellus kuhlii (Kuhl's pipistrelle), 1003 nucleotides long. RefSeq lists it as uncharacterized. Lineage: Eukaryota; Metazoa; Chordata; Mammalia; Chiroptera; Vespertilionidae. The transcript is spliced from 2 exons. The record is from RefSeq and is a predicted model, not a curated record.